This 489-nucleotide long non-coding RNA is filed under the name Macaca nemestrina (pig-tailed macaque). RNAcentral describes it as "lncRNA (ENSMNEG00000046099.1)". Lineage: Eukaryota; Metazoa; Chordata; Mammalia; Primates; Cercopithecidae. The record is from RNAcentral.
GGUGUGUGGGCAGCUCUGUGUUGACCUCCUGCAACUCAUCCAUGACAUCAGGUCUUAGGCUUUUCAUCUGGAUCUUGGAGGCUGAUCAGAGUUCAGAGGUCAGGAAAGAGAGGAGAAACAGGCCAAGAGGACACAAAAUGUAAGUAGAGUUUCCUGGCUGAGGAAGUUGAGGGGGUGCACGCACAAAAUGUUGAAUUGUCUUGUCCGGCUAACUUCCAGUUUUGGGGAAAAUAAGGGCAAAGUAAGUUUAAAGGAGAGAAGCAGAAAAUAAAGGUUUGGAGGAGGAGAAUAAGGGAUGGGGCAGUUGUUUUGCCAAGGCACGGGCAGGUGGCACUGAUGUGUCCCCAAGUAUUUUGCUCUCUUCAGGAAGUUUAAAUGGACCCCUUCAGAGUUGAAUACUUCCCCUGAAGAGAAAAUAUGGAGAAACAGGCUCUUAUACUCUUGGGAGACUGCAGAUACAUUAAUUUUUCUCAUUUUUGUUCCUCCGGG